RNAcentral lists this ribosomal RNA (253 nucleotides) under uncultured bacterium. Its description in RNAcentral is "partial 16S ribosomal RNA". It matches the Rfam family "Bacterial small subunit ribosomal RNA", at positions 524 to 776 of the family's 1533-position model. The record is from RNAcentral.
UACGUAGGGGGCGAGCGUUGUCCGGAAUUACUGGGCGUAAAGGGCGCGCAGGCGGUCGUGUAAGUCCGCUGUGAAAGACCGGGGCUCAACCCCGGGGUGUCAGCGGGGACUGCACGACUGGAGUCCCGGAGAGGGAGGCGGAAUACCUGGUGUAGCGGUGGAAUGCGUAGAGAUCAGGUGGAACACCGAUGGCGAAGGCAGCCUCCUGGACGGGUACUGACGCUGAGGCGCGAAAGCGUGGGGAGCGAACGGG